GGCUAGAUGGUGUGAUUUGAACACGCAACCUUCUGACUCCUGAUCAGAAGGUUGCGUGUUCAAAUCACGUCCGGGUCA
Trichonephila clavata is the source of this 78-nucleotide non-coding RNA. NCBI's taxonomy places the organism in Eukaryota, Metazoa, Arthropoda, Arachnida, Araneae, Nephilidae. The record is from the annotation of a GenBank genome assembly.